This 1230-nucleotide long non-coding RNA is filed under the name Scleropages formosus (Asian bonytongue). RNAcentral describes it as "lncRNA (ENSSFOG00015026101.1)". Lineage: Eukaryota; Metazoa; Chordata; Actinopteri; Osteoglossiformes; Osteoglossidae. The record is from RNAcentral.
AUGAUCUUCUCCUUGAGGCAGCUGCAGGAAAAGUGUAGAGAGCAAACGAAACCCUUGUACGUCGCUUUCAUCGAUCUGACCAAGGCGUUUGAUACUGUCAGCAGAAGUGGGCUUUUCCGGGUUCUCGGUAAAAUCGGCUGUCCGCCUAAGCUACUUAAGCUGAUUCAAUCCUUCCAUGCUGAUAUGCAUGACACAAUCCGUUUCAAUGGAUCGACGUCUGACGCUUUUAGCAUCAAAAGUGGUGUCAAGCAGGGAUGCGUGCUCGCUCCAACUCUUUUUGGGAUCUUCUUCGCAGUGCUGCUGAAGCAAGCCUUUGGAAAUUCCACAGAGGGGGUCUACCUACAUACCCGAAGUGAUGGGAACCUGUUUAACCUCGCAAGGCUUAAGGUCCAGUCGAAGGUACGAAAGGUUUUCAUCCAUGAUAUGCUGUUUGCUGAUGACGCUGCUCUGGUGUCACACACACAGGAAGAGCUUCAGCGGCUGAUGGAUUGCUUCUCUCGCACAGUUGGGGCCUCUGGUCUCAAAAUAAGCUUGGAGAAAACCAAUGUUAUGGGACAAAGUACCCCUCAACGUCCAUCAAUCUCCAUCGGCAACUACACUCUUGAGGUCGUUCACGCAUUCAGUUACCUCGGGUCGACCAUCACAGAUACCAUGUCACUGGAGCCUGAGCUCAAUCAAAGAAUAGGAAAAGCCGCCACGAUUCUGUCCAGUCUCAGCAGGAGAGUGUGGAUGAAUGGCAUGCUCUCCAAGCAUACUAAGAUCAAAGUUUACUGUGCUUGUGUUCUUGGAGUUCUGCUCUAUGGAAGUGAAACGUGGACUUUGUAUGCCCACCAGGAGAAAAGAUUGAACACAUUCCACCUGUGUUGCCUCAGACGCAUCCUCCAGAUCUCGUGGAAGGACAAAGUUACUAACAGUGAUGUCCUUAAUCAGGCUGGAUUGCCAAGCAUGCAGACCAUCCUCAGGCAACGCAGGCUACGGUGGCUAGGGCACGUCCGUCGGAUGGAUGAUGGAAGGAUCACGAAAGACAUCCUGUAUGGGGAACUGGCCUUUGGUGUACGACCAACCGGACGGCCUCAUUUGCGCUUCAAGGAUGUGUGCAAAAAGGAUUUGAGAGAGCUUGACAUUAAUGUGAACGGCUGGGAGGAGCUGGCAACUGAUCGUUGCAGCUGGAGGCGGGAACUUCAUCCAAGGUCUGGGACGCGGCGAACAAAAGCUGCGACUACAGGCUGA